This 408-nucleotide ribosomal RNA is filed under the name uncultured eukaryote. RNAcentral's name for it is "partial 18S ribosomal RNA". It matches the Rfam family "Eukaryotic small subunit ribosomal RNA", at positions 592 to 976 of the family's 1831-position model. The record is from RNAcentral.
CAAUAGCGUAUAUUAAUGUUGUUGCAGUUAAAAAGCUCGUAGUUGGAUUUCGAAUGGGAGCGGUGGGUCGGGUCCGCAAGGGCUCGUUACCUGUUUCGUCUCCGGUUCUUUUUCGGGAUUUGUUUCUGGCGUGGCUGGCAUUGAGUUGUCGGUGGCGUCGGGCCCGUCGUUUACUGUGAACAAAUUAGAGUGUUCAAAGCAAGGUGUGUCUUGAAUACAUUAGCAUGGAAUAAUGAGAUAGGACUUUGGUGGUUUCGGUGAAAGCCGGAUAUUUUGUUGGUUUGCACGCCAAAGUAAUGAUUAAUAGGAGCAGUUGGGGGUAUUCGUAUUCAAUUGUCAGAGGUGAAAUUCUUGGAUUUCUAGAAGACGAACUACUGCGAAAGCAUUUACCAGGGAUGUUUNCAUUAA